This 304-nucleotide small nuclear RNA is filed under the name Heterocephalus glaber (naked mole-rat). RNAcentral describes it as "7SK RNA". It matches the Rfam family "7SK RNA". Rfam says of the family: 7SK was discovered as an abundant small nuclear RNA in the mid-70s but a possible function has only recently been suggested. Lineage: Eukaryota; Metazoa; Chordata; Mammalia; Rodentia; Bathyergidae. The record is from Rfam by way of RNAcentral.
GAGUGCAAGGGUGAUCUGGCUGUGAUGUCUGUCACCCCAUUGAUCACCACAGUUGAUUUGGCUGAUCUAGCUGACUCUGUGGGGUUCCCCUUCCUCGCUCACCACUCCAUGUGCUUCUCUCCUGAAGCUGUGCACUUAGUUGAAGAGGACAACCUUCCCAGAUAGAGGAAGACUAUUCUUUGGUCAAGGUAUAUGAAUAGAUGUGGUCCUCUGCUAGAAUCUCUAAACAAACUCAAGGGAGCCAGGUGAUCCUAGCUCUCAGGAAGCAGAAGCAGGAGGAUCACCACAAGUUCAAGGCCAGCCU